Molecule: ribosomal RNA, 301 nt
Filed under: uncultured bacterium
Lineage: Bacteria
Description: partial 16S ribosomal RNA
Rfam family: Bacterial small subunit ribosomal RNA
Source: RNAcentral
CAGUCGCCACGGUAAUGCGUAGGGUGCGAGCGUUAAUCGGAAUUACUGGGCGUAAAGCGUGCGCAGGCGGUUGUGUAAGACAGGUGUGAAAUCCCCGGGCUAAACCUGGGAACUGCGCUUGUGACUGCACAGCUAGAGUAUGGCAGAGGGGGGUGGAAUUCCACGUGUAGCAGUGAAAUGCGUAGAGAUGUGGAGGAACACCGAUGGCGAAGGCAGCCCCCUGGGCCAAUACUGACGCUCAUGCACGGAAGCGUGGGGAGCAAACAGGAUUAGAUACCCCGGUAGUCCCUGUCUCUUAUAC